GACGUUUAAAGGUAAAGCAUCUGCCUGCAAUGCAGGAGACCCAGGUUUGAUCCCUGGGUUG
Non-coding RNA from Bos taurus (domestic cattle), 61 nucleotides. The record is from Rfam. NCBI's taxonomy places the organism in Eukaryota, Metazoa, Chordata, Mammalia, Artiodactyla, Bovidae.